UAUGUAGCCCCCCCCUUCAGUACGAAAGGACAAAGGGGCGAGAGACCAAUGCCACAAGCACGUCUCAAACCACUAACUGAACAAAACUAAAGUUAAACAGCUACCACCACGACCAAAGAUCGUGAUCU
RNAcentral lists this ribosomal RNA (128 nucleotides) under Plestiodon sp. 1 CPV-2018. RNAcentral describes it as "partial 16S ribosomal RNA". The record is from RNAcentral. Lineage: Eukaryota; Metazoa; Chordata; Lepidosauria; Squamata; Scincidae.